This 422-nucleotide ribosomal RNA is filed under the name uncultured bacterium. RNAcentral's name for it is "bacterial SSU rRNA". It matches the Rfam family "Bacterial small subunit ribosomal RNA", at positions 917 to 1341 of the family's 1533-position model. The record is from RNAcentral.
GGGCCCGCACAAGCGGUGGAGUAUGUGGUUUAAUUCGAUGCAACGCGAAGAACCUUACCAGGGUUUGACAUCCUGCGAAUCUUUUGGAAACGAGAGAGUGCCUUCGGGAACGCAGUGACAGGUGGUGCAUGGCUGUCGUCAGCUCGUGUCGUGAGAUGUUGGGUUAAGUCCCGCAACGAGCGCAACCCACGUCUUUAGUUGCCAGCAUUUAGUUGGGCACUCUAGAGAGACCGCCGGUGAUAAACCGGAGGAAGGUGUGGAUGACGUCAAGUCAUCAUGCCCCUUACAUCCUGGGCUACACACGUACUACAAUGCUACGGACAAAGGGUAGCAAGUUCGCGAGGACAAGCAAAUCCCAUAAACCGUGGCUCAGUUCAGAUCGUAGGCUGCAACUCGCUACGUGAAGGAGGAAUCGCUAGUAA